This 462-nucleotide ribosomal RNA is filed under the name uncultured bacterium. RNAcentral describes it as "partial 16S ribosomal RNA". It matches the Rfam family "Bacterial small subunit ribosomal RNA", at positions 32 to 507 of the family's 1533-position model. The record is from RNAcentral.
AACGCUGGCGGCGUGCUUAACACAUGCAAGUCGAACGGAAAGGCUCCUGCUUGCAGGGGUACUCGAGUGGCGAACGGGUGAGUAACACGUGGGUGAUCUGCCCUGCACUUCGGGAUAAGCUUGGGAAACUGGGUCUAAUACCGGAUAGGACCGCAUUUUGGAUGGUGUGGUGGAUAGUUUUUUCGGUGUGGGAUGAGCUCGCGGCCUAUCAGCUUGUUGGUGGGGUAAUGGCCUACCAAGGCGUCGACGGGUAGCCGGCCUGAGAGGGUGUACGGCCACAUUGGGACUGAGAUACGGCCCAGACUCCUACGGGAGGCAGCAGUGGGGAAUAUUGCACAAUGGGCGCAAGCCUGAUGCAGCGACGCCGCGUGGGGGAUGACGGCCUUCGGGUUGUAAACUCCUUUCGCUAGGGACGAAGAGUAAUUGACGGUACCUGGAGAAGAAGCACCGGCUAACUACGUG